RNAcentral lists this ribosomal RNA (497 nucleotides) under uncultured bacterium. Its description in RNAcentral is "partial 16S ribosomal RNA". It matches the Rfam family "Bacterial small subunit ribosomal RNA", at positions 28 to 507 of the family's 1533-position model. The record is from RNAcentral.
GAUGAACGCUGGCGGCGUGCCUAAUACAUGCAAGUCGAGCGAACAGACGAGGAGCUUGCUCCUCUGACGUUAGCGGCGGACGGGUGAGUAACACGUGGAUAACCUACCUAUAAGACUGGGAUAACUUCGGGAAACCGGAGCUAAUACCGGAUAAUAUAUUGAACCGCAUGGUUCAAUAGUGAAAGACGGUUUUGCUGUUACUUAUAGAUGGAUCCGCGCCGCAUUAGCUAGUUGGUAAGGUAACGGCUUACCAAGGCGACGAUGCGUAGCCGACCUGAGAGGGUGAUCGGCCACACUGGAACUGAGACACGGUCCAGACUCCUACGGGAGGCAGCAGUAGGGAAUCUUCCGCAAUGGGCGAAAGCUUGACGGAGCAACGCCGCGUGAGUGAUGAAGGUCUUCGGAUCGUAAAACUCUGUUAUUAGGGAAGAACAAAUGUGUAAGUAACUAUGCACGUCUUGACGGUACCUAAUCAGAAAGCCACGGCUAACUACGUG